RNAcentral lists this ribosomal RNA (797 nucleotides) under uncultured Bacillota bacterium. RNAcentral describes it as "bacterial SSU rRNA". It matches the Rfam family "Bacterial small subunit ribosomal RNA", at positions 1 to 799 of the family's 1533-position model. The record is from RNAcentral. Lineage: Bacteria; Bacillati; Bacillota.
AGGAGAGUUUGAUCCUGGCUCAGGAUGAACGCUGGCGGCGUGCCUAACACAUGCAAGUCGAACGAAGCAUAUCGGACGGAGAUUCGUCGAAGCCUGGUAUGACUUAGUGGCGGACGGGUGAGUAAUGUAUGAGCAACCUGCCUUUCAGAGGGGGACAACAGUUGGAAACGACUGCUAAUACCGCAUAACAUACGAGGGGGACAUCCUCUUCGUAUCAAAGGAGCAAUCCGCUGAAAGAUGGGCUCAUAUCUGAUUAGCUAGUUGGCGGGGUAACGGCCCACCAAGGCGACGAUCAGUAGCCGGACUGAGAGGUUGAACGGCCACAUUGGGACUGAGAUACGGCCCAGACUCCUACGGGAGGCAGCAGUGGGGAAUAUUGGGCAAUGGGCGAAAGCCUGACCCAGCAACGCCGCGUGAAGGAAGAAGGUCUUCGGAUUGUAAACUUCUUUUAUGAGGGACGAAGGACGUGACGGUACCUCAUGAAUAAGCCACGGCUAACUACGUGCCAGCAGCCGCGGUAAUACGUAGGUGGCGAGCGUUAUCCGGAUUUACUGGGUGUAAAGGGCGCGUAGGCGGGGGUGCAAGUCAGAUGUGAAAUCCAUGGGCUCAACUCAUGAACUGCAUUUGAAACUGUAUCUCUUGAGUGCUGGAGAGGUAGAUGGAAUUCCUUGUGUAGCGGUGAAAUGCGUAGAUAUAAGGAAGAACACCAGUGGCGAAGGCGAUCUACUGGACAGUAACUGACGCUGAGGCGCGAAAGCGUGGGGAGCAAACAGGAUUAGAUACCCUGGUAGUCCCCU